AGCUCUUGCCAGUACACUCGGGAUCCUACUGCAGGGAGAUGCAGUGUGUGCUCUUCCACAGUUCCCCAGAAGGACAGCCAGCAUUCACACUGCUGAUUCAGAACGCUGACUCAGCCACCUGCAUGCCUAUCCUAAUCCCUAGCUGUUUGAGCAACUGGGUAAGGCAGGAGGUUGGCAAUAAAUAGAAAUAUUUGUUCAGCUUGGCUCGGAUUCCACUUCCACUCACCGCCAGCUGUGUGACACUGGGUAAAGUUCCCUGUCACCUCGGGGUCUUGGUUCCACCUCUGUGGUUGGAGUCAUUGUGUGGAAAGACUUUGGCAUGGAGCAGAUGAGGAAGUCGGUGGAUGGCACAAAGUCAGAGUGCCAGAGUUAGCCAUGGAAGCAAGGCUAACAGAGCCCAGACAGCAGCCUGCACCAUGCAGAACUGCACCGGCAGUUCCUGCCUUAAGAUUUGUCCUUAUUUGAUGGGGAUGAGCACCUAAUUGGACCAUGGCUGGAUGGAUUUUCCGUUGUUUGCAGCUGACAGCUUGCCUGGAUGUCGGUCUGCGGUGUUAAAUUCGAUUUAAGAAAUGUCAGCUCUGAAGUCCUCAGUGGAGACUCUUAAAUAUGUCCCGUGACCACUGUGAUAACAUUGGCACCCAGAAGAGAUGGAGCACACCCCUGGGAGCUGUAGAGACUUGAGCACGCGGUCUGCUUUGGAGACAAGCAGAGCUGUCAGCAUCCCUCAUGGGCUGCCUCUGAGGUCACUCUAUGGUGAGCAUUGCUUUCUAAAGACAGAGCAGAGGUCAGAGGUCAGUUCUCUGGAAAGGUGAAGAAAUGUCAGAAGGUCAUCGUUCUCCUCACCAGAGAGAUUCGUGGAUUACAUGCUCAGCACUGUGCAGAAGGUGACAGGUGGUCAGGUGUGACUUCUGUCACCGGGAGCCAGCCGUCCACAAAGGAAAUGGCCUAAUCGUAUGCGCUAUGAUGGAGGGAGAGCACAGGACUCUGCUGUGCCUGCAUGCGCUCUCUCAAAAAAGAUAUAUAAAGUGGGUGACUUCUGAAGUUGUCCCAUCCCUGAUGCUAGGAAACCCUCUAUGUCCUUUAAAAUGCUGUGCUGCAAAGCCCAACAACAGGGAAACCAACAACAUCAUUAAAACUCGGGAAAAGCCAGCUGUGGUGGAGCACACUUAUGUCCCAGCACUUGGGGAGGAAGAAGCAUAAAGUUCACCUAGGAUUCAGGGUGAACCAGGGCUUCGUAGUGAGACCCUGUCUCAAAAACAAAACAAACCCAAACAAAACAAACAAACAAACAAGACAAAACAAACCCCAGUAGGAUUGGAGGGAUGGAUUGGUGGGCAAGCAUGAGGGUCUGAGUUCGGAUCCCAGGCCCCAUGUAAAAAAAUCUGGAUACACUUGUGCGUUCCUAUAACCUCAGCACUGUCGGAGACAGGGUAGCAGGGCUUGCUGGUUGCCCUUUCAGUUCAGAUCCAGGUUCAGCGAGUGAUGCUGUCUUAAAGGAAUAGGUAGAAGAAGAUAGAACAGGGUGCCUAAUGUCCUCUGGGCCUUUCAUGUGUGUACCUAUGUGCCACCAAACACACACACACACACACACACACACACACACACACUGCUGCAACCACCAAUAAUAACAAAGGCAAAAUUCCUGAGUACAGUCCUUCCCAGACAAGACACAGAGAGCAAAUAAGUGUGUGAGAAGACGCUGACAUUAAACAGGAAAUCAGAACACCAGCUCGAUGCUAUUAGACAGCAGUGAAGAGGGCCAAAUUGUACAUUGAUGCUAUCAAAUGCUGAUGAGGAUGUAGAGAAACCAAGACAUCUUAGCAGUUUCUUGUAUAUCCGUAUCUUCUUCCCAUAUAGUUCCAUAGCUGUGUUCCUAGGUGUCUACUCAAAGGAGUUGAAAAGUUAAGGUCACACAAAAAAACUGUCCACAGACGUUUGCAGCUGUCCCUCAUGAUUGGCCAACCUCACAAGCAACAAAGAAAGUAAAUAAAUACAUCACUGUGUGUCCAGACAAUGGACUUUUCUUCAGUAACCAAAAGGAAUGAGCUACCAUGCCAAAAGAUUCGGGGGAUCCUUUAAGCCACAAGUGAGGGUCAGAAGCCAUUCUGAAUCAUUCCAACCAUCAGAUGCCCCACAGCAGGUAAAGGCCAGAUGUUGGAGAGGGAAGACACAAGCUGGCAAAAAGAGAGUGUUUGGGACAGACAAACCAUUUGGGAUGAUGCUCUUAUAAAAGCUAUGUGCCACUAUAUACCAUCCAACACUUGGAGCAGCUUCAUGUGUCCGUGUAAGCUCCUCCAUCUCCAUAGUUUACACCAUUAUGCUUGGAGGUGUUGAUAGGGGUGGAGUUUCAGUAGACUUUAAAGGUUAAGCCUAGGUGAGAUGGCUCAGUGGGUAAGAGCACCCCACUGCUCUUCCAAAGGUCCGGAGUUCAAAUCCCAGUAACCACAUGGUGGCUCACAACCAUCCGUAACGAGAUCUGACUCCCUCUUCUGGAGUGUCUGAGGACAGCUACAGUGUACUUACAUACAAUAAAUAAAUAAAUAAAUAAAUCUUUAAAAAAAAUGUUAAGCCUAUUGAAAACAAAACCAAACAAUAACACAACAACAAAACUCCCCUUGUCAAGUGUGGUUAGGAACAUGGGUUUUGGCUAUGGACUCUGAGUUGGAAUUGUGACUCUGACGCCAAGGCAGUGACUGUCAGCAAAUGAGCACGGGAGGAGUGCCUGCUUUAUGGGUCUCUAUGAAGACUGGAAGAAUUAACAGAUCUAAAGCAUCCAGUGCUUGGUACCUGUGGGCACUCCAUCAACAUUAGCUACUAUUUAAAAAUGAAUGUUUUAAAGAGCCAUUCCAAUCGGUUGGCUGCUACUAGCCUUAGGCACUGCAGUCCUUUGCUGUCUGGAUGCACGAUCGCAUGCUUGAAAAGAAUGACUUCUCCCCGCUGUGACAGAGUGGAAGCUCUCUUUCGGAGGCAGAGACCGCAAGUCCAUACAUGUUCUGAGGCCCAGAGAAAAUGUUCUUGACAGGACCAUUCCAACAUCCCCAGCAGCAAAACCCGACAGCCUCUGCACUUGAGAAUCCUCUGCCCGAGUGACCUGGCACAACCCCAGCCUGCAUCCUGCCCUUCAUCAGCCAAGCAUUGUUCUGUGUCUGCUGUGGCUCCAGGGAGGAAAGCUCGCAUGGAGUUAGGUUCGUGCUCUGCCACGAGGUCAUUUUCUCCUGACCAGAACCUUGAGCACAUUGACAGAGGAUGCCCUCCAGUGUGGGAUGCUGAAAUCUGAAGUCACUCUCUUUUACUACCACAUACUCUUUUUGUCUCUUUUACACGUACACACACACACACACACACACACACACACACACACACACACACGACCUUAUUGAAGCCUCACAGCAAUCCUACAGGCUCUAGGGGCACUGAGUCUGCUAGGAUUCUUAGUCACUGUGAGGUGUAAUUUGGACCCACUUGGCUGACUUCAAAGCCACCUUCAGUCUAUAAUGGGUUUUUUGGUGGUUUGUUUGUUUGUUUGUUUUGUUUUGGGGCACAGGGUAGAGACAGGGUUUCUCUAUGUAGCCCUGGCUGUCCUAAAACAUACUCUCUAGACCA
Long non-coding RNA from Mus musculus (house mouse), 3603 nucleotides. RefSeq annotates it as predicted gene, 32348. NCBI's taxonomy places the organism in Eukaryota, Metazoa, Chordata, Mammalia, Rodentia, Muridae. The transcript is spliced from 5 exons. The record is from RefSeq and is a predicted model, not a curated record.